RNAcentral lists this ribosomal RNA (468 nucleotides) under uncultured bacterium. RNAcentral's name for it is "partial 16S ribosomal RNA". It matches the Rfam family "Bacterial small subunit ribosomal RNA", at positions 28 to 507 of the family's 1533-position model. The record is from RNAcentral.
GACGAACGCUGGCGGCGUGCUUAACACAUGCAAGUCGAACGGAAAGGCCCUGCUUUUGUGGGGUGCUCGAGUGGCGAAAGGGUGAGUAACACGUGAUUAACCUGCCCUUGACUUUGGUAUAACUUCAGGAAACUGGUGCUAAUACCGACUAGGAGCUCCUGCUGCAUGGUGGGGGUUGGAAAGUUUCGGCGGUUGGGGAUGGACUCGCGGCUUAUCAGCUUGUUGGUGGGGUAGUGGCUUACCAAGGCUUUGACGGGUAGCCGGCCUGAGAGGGUGACCGGCCACAUUGGGACUGAGAUACGGCCCAGACUCCUACGGGAGGCAGCAGUGGGGAAUAUUGCACAAUGGGCGGAAGCCUGAUGCAGCAACGCCGCGUGAGGGAUGACGGCCUUCGGGUUGUAAACCGCUUUCGCCUGUGACGAAGCGUGAGUGACGGUAAUGGGUAAAGAAGCACCGGCUAACUACGUG